RNAcentral lists this ribosomal RNA (1141 nucleotides) under Proteus mirabilis. RNAcentral describes it as "partial 23S ribosomal RNA". It matches the Rfam family "Bacterial large subunit ribosomal RNA", at positions 710 to 1750 of the family's 2925-position model. The record is from RNAcentral. Lineage: Bacteria; Pseudomonadati; Pseudomonadota; Gammaproteobacteria; Enterobacterales; Morganellaceae.
UAGACCCGAAACCCGGUGAUCUAUCCAUGGGCAGGUUGAAGGUUGGGUAACACUAACUGGAGGACCGAACCGACUAAUGUUGAAAAAUUAGCGGAUGACUUGUGGAUGGGGGUGAAAGGCCAAUCAAACCGGGAGAUAGCUGGUUCUCCCCGAAAGCUAUUUAGGUAGCGCCUCGUGAACUCAUCUUCGGGGGUAGAGCACUGUUUCGACUAGGGGGUCAUCCCGACUUACCAACUCGAUGCAAACUGCGAAUACCGAAGAAUGUUAUCACGGGAGACACACGGCGGGUGCUAACGUCCGUCGUGAAGAGGGAAACAACCCAGACCGCCAGCUAAGGUCCCAAAGUCAUGGUUAAGUGGGAAACGAAGUGGGAAGGCUCAGACAGCCAGGAUGUUGGCUUAGAAGCAGCCAUCAUUUAAAGAAAGCGUAAUAGCUCACUGGUCGAGUCGGCCCGCGCGGAAGAUGUAACGGGGCUAAACCAUGCACCGAAGCUGCGGCAGCGAACGUAUCACUUAAAUUUGUUUGAGUGAAUAACGAUUGACGGAACGAAGUGACGUCAAUGCGUUAAUGAAAGUCGAGGCGAAAGCACGACAAAGCGAAUUUAAGGAUACGUUCGUUGGGUAGGGGAGCGUUCUGUAAGCCUGCGAAGGUGUACUGUGAGGUAUGCUGGAGGUAUCAGAAGUGCGAAUGCUGACAUAAGUAACGAUAAUGCGGGUGAAAAACCCGCACGCCGGAAGACCAAGGGUUCCUGUCCAACGUUAAUCGGGGCAGGGUGAGUCGACCCCUAAGGCGAGGCUGAAAAGCGUAGUCGAUGGGAAACGGGUUAAUAUUCCCGUACUGGUGGUAACUGCGAUGGGGGAACGGAGAAGGCUAGGUUGUCCGGGCGACGGUCGUCCCGGUUCAAGCAGGUAGGCAGAGUGAUUAGGCAAAUCCGGUCACUUAAUGCUGAGAUGUGAUGACGAACCACCAAGGUGGUGAAGCAAUUGAUGCCCCGCUUCCAGGAAAAGCCUCUAAGCUUCAGGUUACCAACAAUCGUACCCCAAACCGACACAGGUGGUCAGGUAGAGAAUACUCAGGCGCUUGAGAGAACUCGGGUGAAGGAACUAGGCAAAAUGGUGCCGUAACUUCGGGAGAAGGCACG